Molecule: ribosomal RNA, 253 nt
Filed under: uncultured bacterium
Lineage: Bacteria
Description: partial 16S ribosomal RNA
Rfam family: Bacterial small subunit ribosomal RNA
Source: RNAcentral
UACGUAGGGUCCGAGCGUUGUCCGGAAUUAUUGGGCGUAAAGAGCUCGUAGGCGGUCUGUCGCGUCUGCUGUGAAAACUCGGGGCUUAACCCCGGGCCUGCCGUGGGUACGGGCAGACUAGAGUGCGGUAGGGGAGACUGGAAUUCCUGGUGUAGCGGUGAAAUGCGCAGAUAUCAGGAGGAACACCGGUGGCGAAGGCGGGUCUCUGGGCCGUAACUGACGCUGAGGAGCGAAAGCAUGGGGAGCGAACAGG